UCGGGGAUAGCCUUUCGAAAGAAAGAUUAAUAUCCGAUAGCAUAUAUUUCCCGCAUGGGUUUUAUAUUAAAGAAAUUCGGUAUGAGAUGGGGAUGCGUUCCAUUAGUUUGUUGGGGGGGUAACGGCCCACCAAGACUACGAUGGAUAGGGGUUCUGAGAGGAAGGUCCCCCACAUUGGAACUGAGACACGGUCCAAACUCCUACGGGAGGCAGCAGUGAGGAAUAUUGGUCAAUGGACGCGAGUCUGAACCAGCCAAGUAGCGUGAAGGAUGACUGCCCUAUGGGUUGUAAACUUCUUUUAUAUGGGAAUAAAGUGGUCCACGUGUGGACUUUUGUAUGUACCAUAUGAAUAAGGAUCGGCUAACUCCGUGCCAGCAGCCGCGGUAAUACGGAGGAUCCGAGCGUUAUCCGGAUUUAUUGGGUUUAAAGGGAGCGUAGGCGGAUUGUUAAGUCAGUUGUGAAAGUUUGCGGCUCAACCGUAAAAUUGCAGUUGAUACUGGCAGUCUUGAGUGCAGUAGAGGUGGGCGGAAUUCGUGGUGUAGCGGUGAAAUGCUUAGAUAUCACGAAGAACUCCGAUUGCGAAGGCAGCUCACUGGAGUGUAACUGACGCUGAUGCUCGAAAGU
Molecule: ribosomal RNA, 624 nt
Filed under: uncultured bacterium
Lineage: Bacteria
Description: bacterial SSU rRNA
Rfam family: Bacterial small subunit ribosomal RNA
Source: RNAcentral